AACGCACGAGACCUGCGGACCUGCGGAGGGAUCAUUACCGAGUUUACAACUCCCAAACCCAAUGUGAACCAUACCAAACUGUUGCCUCGGCGGGGUCACGCCCCGGGUGCGUCGCAGCCCCGGAACCAGGCGCCCGCCGGAGGGACCAACCAAACUCUUUCUGUAGUCCCCUCGCGGACGUUAUUUCUUACAGCUCUGAGCAAAAAUUCAAAAUGAAUCAAAACUUUUAGCAACGGAUCU
Molecule: unclassified non-coding RNA, 240 nt
Filed under: soil metagenome
Description: partial contains 5.8S ribosomal RNA, internal transcribed spacer 2, and large subunit ribosomal RNA
Source: RNAcentral